GAUGAACGCUGGCGGCGUGCCUAAUACAUGCAAGUAGAACGCUGAAGCUUGGUGCUUGCCCCGAGCGGAUGAGUUGCGAACGGGUGAGUAACGCGUAGGUAACCUGCCUCUUAGCGGGGGAUAACUAUUGGAAACGAUAGCUAAUACCGCAUAAAAGUCGACAUCGCAUGAUGUUGACUUGAAAGGUGCAAUUGCAUCACUAAGAGAUGGACCUGCGUUGUAUUAGCUAGUUGGUGAGGUAACGGCUCACCAAGGCGACGAUACAUAGCCGGCCUGAGAGGGGGGACGGCCACACUGGGACUGGGACACGGCCCAGAAUCCUACGGGGGGGAGCAGGAGGGAAUCUUCGGCAAUGGGGGCAACCCUGACCGGGCAACGCCGCGGGAGUGAAGGAGGGUUUCGGGUCGUAAAGCUCUGUUGUAAGGGAAGAACGAGUGUGAGAGUGGAAAGUUCACACUGUGACGGUAACUUACCAGAAAGGGACGGCUAACUACGUG
This 497-nucleotide ribosomal RNA is filed under the name uncultured bacterium. RNAcentral's name for it is "partial 16S ribosomal RNA". It matches the Rfam family "Bacterial small subunit ribosomal RNA", at positions 28 to 507 of the family's 1533-position model. The record is from RNAcentral.